CAGUAGCCGCGGUAAUACGGAGGGCGCGAGCGUUACCCGGAUUUACUGGGCGUAAAGGGCGUGUAGGCGGCCUGGGGCGUCCCAUGUGAAAGGCCACGGCUCAACCGUGGAGGAGCGUGGGAUACGCUCAGGCCAGAGGGUGGGAGAGGGUGGUGGAAUUCCCGGAGUAGCGGUGAAAUGCGCAGAUACCGGGAGGAACGCCGAUGGCGAAGGCAGCCACCUGGUCCACUUCUGACGCUGAGGCGCGAAAGCGUGGGGAGCAAACCGGAUUAGAUACCCGCGUAGUCCCUGUCUCUUAUAC
RNAcentral lists this ribosomal RNA (301 nucleotides) under uncultured bacterium. RNAcentral describes it as "partial 16S ribosomal RNA". It matches the Rfam family "Bacterial small subunit ribosomal RNA", at positions 509 to 807 of the family's 1533-position model. The record is from RNAcentral.